GCAGUUGGCCGGUCUGUCGCGUGCACGUUUUCGUGCAGGAGGAAAGUCCGGGCAACACAGAGCAUCCUACUUCCUAACAGAAAGCUGUCCGUGAGGGUAGAGUAACGUAGAAGAAAAUAACCGCCAUUCCUUUCGGGGAGAGGUAAGGGUGAGAAGGUGGAGUAAGAGCCCACCAGCCGCAUGGUGACAUGUCGGGCUGUACGUCUUAGGAGUUGUAAGGUCAUGUAAACCGGCGUUAUGAGAGUUGCUCGCUCCAUGUCGGAGGGUAGACCGCUAAAGUGCCGUGGUGACACGUCACUCAGAUAAAUGACAGACACCUUAUUUAUAUAAGGUACAGAACUCGGCUUAUAGGCUGACUGCUUUU
RNAcentral lists this RNase P RNA (364 nucleotides) under Bacteroides sp. Its description in RNAcentral is "RNase P RNA component class A". It matches the Rfam family "Bacterial RNase P class A". Rfam says of the family: Ribonuclease P (RNase P) is a ubiquitous endoribonuclease, found in archaea, bacteria and eukarya as well as chloroplasts and mitochondria. Its best characterised activity is the generation of mature 5'-ends of tRNAs by cleaving the 5'-leader elements of precursor-tRNAs. Lineage: Bacteria; Pseudomonadati; Bacteroidota; Bacteroidia; Bacteroidales; Bacteroidaceae. The record is from RNAcentral. RNAcentral also lists the same sequence under 2 other names.